RNAcentral lists this ribosomal RNA (475 nucleotides) under uncultured Methanosaeta sp. Its description in RNAcentral is "bacterial SSU rRNA". It matches the Rfam family "Archaeal small subunit ribosomal RNA", at positions 862 to 1338 of the family's 1478-position model. The record is from RNAcentral. Lineage: Archaea; Methanobacteriati; Methanobacteriota; Methanomicrobia; Methanotrichales; Methanotrichaceae.
UGAAUUGACGGGGAGCACCACAACGGUGGAGCUUGCGGUUUAAUUGGAUUCAACGCCGGAAUCUUACCGGGACCGACAGCAAUAUGAAGGCCAGGCUGAAGACUUUGCCGGAUUAGCUGAGAGGUGGUGCAUGGCCGUCGUCAGUUCGUACUGUGAAGCAUCCUGUUAAGUCAGGCAACGAGCGAGACCCACGCCCACAGUUGCCAGCGUACUCUCUGGAGUGACGGGUACACUGUGGGGACCGCCGCUGCUAAAGCGGAGGAAGGAAUGGGCAACGGUAGGCCAGUAUGCCCCGAAUAUCCCGGGCUACACGCGAGCUACAAUGGUUGGUACAAUGGGUAUCUACCCCGAAAGGGGACGGGAAUCUCCUAAAACCAAUCUUAGUUCGGAUUGAGGGCUGCAACUCGCCCUCAUGAAGCUGGAAUCCGUAGUAAUCGCGUUUCAACAGAACGCGGUGAAUACGUCCCUGCUCCUU